RNAcentral lists this transfer RNA (74 nucleotides) under Klebsiella pneumoniae subsp. pneumoniae. Its description in RNAcentral is "tRNA-Ile". It matches the Rfam family "tRNA". Rfam says of the family: Transfer RNA (tRNA) molecules are approximately 80 nucleotides in length. Their secondary structure includes four short double-helical elements and three loops (D, anti-codon, and T loops). Further hydrogen bonds mediate the characteristic L-shaped molecular structure. tRNAs have two regions of fundamental functional importance: the anti-codon, which is responsible for specific mRNA codon recognition, and the 3' end, to which the tRNAs corresponding amino acid is attached (by aminoacyl-tRNA synthetases). tRNAs cope with the degeneracy of the genetic code in two manners: having more than one tRNA (with a specific anti-codon) for a particular amino acid; and 'wobble' base-pairing, i.e. permitting non-standard base-pairing at the 3rd anti-codon position. The record is from RNAcentral. Lineage: Bacteria; Pseudomonadati; Pseudomonadota; Gammaproteobacteria; Enterobacterales; Enterobacteriaceae.
GCAGGCUUGUAGCUCAGGUGGUUAGAGCGCACCCCUGAUAAGGGUGAGGUCGGUGGUUCAAGUCCACUCAGGCC